UUCUAUGGCCAACCACCCUGAACACUCCCGACCCCGUCUGAUCUUGGAAGCUGACCAGGGUCGGGCCUGGUUAGUACUUAGAUGGGAGAAAAACAAAGAAUCUGAUUUAAAAA
This 113-nucleotide ribosomal RNA is filed under the name Castor canadensis (American beaver). Lineage: Eukaryota; Metazoa; Chordata; Mammalia; Rodentia; Castoridae. The record is from RNAcentral.